UCUCAAAUCCAACUGAAUCCCAAUACAUAUACUUAGGAUUCAAUAAACCAAGAUACGAUUCAUUCAAUCUCAUAUUUACAAAGGUCUCUUAAUCGAAGGUGCCCCAAUGCCACGGGGGUAAUUAACAAUAGAUGCUUACAUCUAUUGGAAACCAUGGACCUGCAAUACUUGAUACAAAUACUAAUCUGAAUCAUGAAUACAACCCCACGGCAAAACCCAUCGACCGUGCGAGAUACGUCAUUCGUGAUGGCAGACAGAUACUAAAUGGAUAUAGUUUCUGAUAUCGGUAUAAAAAAAAAAAUCUCGAUGAAUUUAGAUUCGGACAUGAAUUUUGUCUUUUCCAGACCCGAAUCCGAUCCAAACACAAAUUGAUUUUACAUUAUAUAAUAUAUGUGAAUGUUUGAUAUUAUAUUUUAAUUUGUAUUUAAAAAUUUAGAUUUAAUGUAAUAUGUUUUGAAAUAUGAUAAAAAGAAAUAAUUAUUUUGGGUUAGGGUUUUUGAGUUCAAAUUUAGAUUUCGAAUUUUUUUUGUCAGAUUUAGGUUUGGAAAUGGAUUUUUAAAAUCCGUUGGAGUCGGGUUUGGGUUUGAAUUUUGGAUUUUAUAGUCGGGUUUGGAUUUAGAUUUUUGAAAAU
This 631-nucleotide long non-coding RNA is filed under the name Ananas comosus (pineapple). Its description in RNAcentral is "long non-coding RNA (ACOM_LNC036812)". Lineage: Eukaryota; Viridiplantae; Streptophyta; Magnoliopsida; Poales; Bromeliaceae. The record is from RNAcentral.